This 253-nucleotide ribosomal RNA is filed under the name uncultured bacterium. RNAcentral's name for it is "partial 16S ribosomal RNA". It matches the Rfam family "Bacterial small subunit ribosomal RNA", at positions 524 to 776 of the family's 1533-position model. The record is from RNAcentral.
UACGUAGGGUGCAAGCGUUGUCCGGGAUUAUUGGGCGUAAAGAGCUCGUAGGCGGUUUGUCGCGUCUGCUGUGAAAGUUCGGGGCUCAACCCCGGAACUGCAGUGGGUACGGGCAGACUAGAGUGCGGUAGAGGAGACUGGAAUUCCUGGUGUAGCGGUGGAAUGCGCAGAUAUCAGGAGGAACACCAGUGGCGAAGGCGGGUCUCUGGGCCGCAACUGACGCUGAGGAGCGAGAGCGUGGGGAGCGAACAGC